AUAGUACUUCCUCCGUCCAAAAAUACUUGUCGGAAAAUUGAAGAGAAAUGGAUGUAACUAGACGUAUUUUAGUUCUAGAUAUAUUCAUUUUCAUCCAUUUCUGCGACAAAUAUUUCCGAACCGAGGAAGUAUAUA
This is a non-coding RNA of Triticum aestivum (bread wheat), 135 nucleotides long. The record is from Rfam. NCBI's taxonomy places the organism in Eukaryota, Viridiplantae, Streptophyta, Magnoliopsida, Poales, Poaceae.